Molecule: ribosomal RNA, 497 nt
Filed under: uncultured bacterium
Lineage: Bacteria
Description: partial 16S ribosomal RNA
Rfam family: Bacterial small subunit ribosomal RNA
Source: RNAcentral
GACGAACGCUGGCGGCGUGCCUAAUACAUGCAAGUUGAGCGCUGAAGGUUGGUACUUGUACCAACUGGAUGAGCAGCGAACGGGUGAGUAACGCGUGGGGAAUCUGCCUUUGAGCGGGGGACAACAUUUGGAAACGAAUGCUAAUACCGCAUAAAAACUUUAAACACAAGUUUUAAGUUUGAAAGAUGCAAUUGCAUCACUCAAAGAUGAUCCCGCGUUGUAUUAGCUAGUUGGUGAGGUAAAGGCUCACCAAGGCGAUGAUACAUAGCCGACCUGAGAGGGUGAUCGGCCACAUUGGGACUGAGACACGGCCCAAACUCCUACGGGAGGCAGCAGUAGGGAAUCUUCGGCAAUGGACGAAAGGCUGACCGAGCAACGCCGCGUGGGUGAAGAAGGUUUUCGGAUCGUAAAACUCUGUUGGUAGAGAAGAACGUUGGUGAGAGUGGAAAGCUCAUCAAGUGACGGUAACUACACAGAAAGGGACGGCUAACUACGUG